GACGAACCGUGCGAACGUUGUUCGGAAUCACUGGGCUUAAAGCGUGUGUAGGCGGGCCGUUAAGUAUCUUGUGAAAUCCCCCGGCUCAACCGGGGAAUGGCUGGAUAUACUGGCGGUCUUGAGCGAUCUAGGGGCAGAUGGAACAGACGGUGGAGCGGUGAAAUGCGUAGAUAUCGUCUGGAACGCCAAAGGUGAAGACAGUCUGCUGGGGAUCUGCUGACGCUGAGACACGAAAGCCAGGGGAGCGAACGGG
This 253-nucleotide ribosomal RNA is filed under the name uncultured bacterium. RNAcentral describes it as "partial 16S ribosomal RNA". It matches the Rfam family "Bacterial small subunit ribosomal RNA", at positions 524 to 776 of the family's 1533-position model. The record is from RNAcentral.